AAAAAAGUGGGGAGACAGAUGACCAUCUACUACUAUGAGGUAGCCACGACUCUAUGGAAUGAUUUCUACACUAGAAUUAAUCUAGCAUGGGUGAUGCCAAGAAGCUUCGUUGACUUUCUAGAAACUUGGAGAGGUCUACGGGGCAACCCACAUAUUGCAGCAAUGUGGAAGAUGAUGCCCGUUUCAUGUUUGCCUGUGAUGGUGUCUUUGUAGAAAGAAGUUUUGAAGACUGCAUGCAGACCAUGGAUGAUUCGAGUUUUCUUUUUCAAUACUUUAUUCCAACGGUCAAUUGUAAUAGAACUCAAUGGAUUGAGUGUCCAUGACUUUCUUGGAUCAAUUGUUAAUCAUGCUUGGGUGUCUCUUGUAUAUGACCCGUGUACAUGGGCUAUGCCUAUUGCAAUCAAUAAAGCUUCUUGCUUGCCUAUCAAAAUAAAAUAACAAAAAACUGAAUUCAAAAUAUUUUGAUUUCUAAAUAGGUGGAUUUUUAUUUUUAUUUUUCUUUCAACUGGAAAUUUCCUAGUGAAAAAAAUGGUACUUAAUAAUAUAUUUUAAUUUUGGAUUAUCUCAUGAUUGCCUUAUGUAACCCUUUUAUAAACUUCUUGUUCUAUGUUUCAAGUUAUAGUAAUCUGCGGUUUCCUUCUGCUGAUGAUGUCUUCAAUCUGGUUGAGAUUGAUUGAUUGUAUGUUUUUCAAUCUUGUUUGUGCUUUUUACAAGCUUGUUACUGUAGAACGUGAGUAUUAGUAUAGGGGCAAAACAUUAUGGUACUCCACUUCUGUAGCAUGUUAGAUAUGAUGACAUUAACUGAAAUUUUUUAUUCUGAAUCCAUUUCUGCUGGGGAUGGUGUUUGAUCUUGAGAAGGGGUCAACCCUGUAUGUUGAUCUGGCAAAAUCUAAUUCUAGAUCCUAGCGCAUGAGAACAAGUCAAUUGCUCAUUGGAUUGAUUAUCUGUAUUGAAUUACUCCACAGUUUUCAUUGUUUCGAAAAUGAAUUGUGGAUAUCUUGGAUAUGGCAAUCAGAUGAUGGAAGAUUUGGCUCAGAUAAAAAAGCUAGAGGAUUUACAUUUUCAAGGAGCACUUCUAAUUCUGGUAAUACUAUUGACUGAAUUGCUUACAGAUUAUGGAGUGCUUCCUAUGGUGUUCCUUAUUUGCCAAUUCUUCUCCUAGUUCCUGGCAUAUUAAAGCCACUCUCUCUCUCUCUCUCUCUCUCUCUCUCUCGCUCUCUCUCAAAGAGAAUGAAGUGCUAACUUGUCAGUUGUGGUUUUUGACAUCAUACUUGGAGUGCAAAUUAAUUGCUUAGUCACAUGGACACAGUCUAAAAGCUCACAUUGCACACGUUUUACACACUUGGGCACUAGCAGGUCUUGGCAGCAUUCACAUGCCUGGAAUGGGUAAUUCUGGUUACAACACGAUUGGUUAUCCAUCUGCAUAAAGAAUAGUCCUCCAGUGCCCAAUGUUCGAAAAAUGUUACCCCAUGUUCAACACUUUUUGUGGCUAAUUUGUGACCAACUUGUACAGAGCAAGAGCUAGUUCAAGUAUUUUCAAGAUGCUUGGGGUUUCUAGAAUUGAAGAUUCAGAACACAUGGGGCUCCAGUUGCCUUUGUUGAUUUCCAGGUACUU
Long non-coding RNA from Juglans microcarpa x Juglans regia, 1615 nucleotides. RefSeq lists it as uncharacterized. The record is from RefSeq and is a predicted model, not a curated record. Lineage: Eukaryota; Viridiplantae; Streptophyta; Magnoliopsida; Fagales; Juglandaceae. The transcript has 3 exons.